CCUGGUGGUCAUGGCGCUGGAAAAACACCCGAUCCCUUCCCGAACUCGGCCGUGAAAAACAGCUGCGCCAAUGGUACUUUGCCUCAAGGCACGGGAGAGUAGGACGCCGCCAGGU
Ribosomal RNA from Haematospirillum jordaniae, 115 nucleotides. Lineage: Bacteria; Pseudomonadati; Pseudomonadota; Alphaproteobacteria; Rhodospirillales; Novispirillaceae. The record is from Rfam.